Molecule: ribosomal RNA, 465 nt
Filed under: uncultured bacterium
Lineage: Bacteria
Description: partial 16S ribosomal RNA
Rfam family: Bacterial small subunit ribosomal RNA
Source: RNAcentral
CCUACGGGGGGCAGCAGUAGGGAAUCUUCCACAAUUGGCGAAAGCCUGAUGGAGCAACGCCGCGUGGGUGAAGAAGGUCUUCGGAUCGUAAAGCCCUGUUGUCAGAGAAGAACGUGCGCGAGAGUAACUGUUCACGUUUCGACGGUACCUAACCAGAAAGCCACGGCUAACUACGUGCCAGCAGCCGCGGUAAUACGUAGGUGGCAAGCGUUAUCCGGACUUAUUGGGCGUAAAGGGAACGCAGGCGGUCUUUUAAGUCUAAUGUGAAAGCCUUGGGCUUAACCGGAGUAGUGCAUUGGAAACUGGGAAACUUGAGUGCAGGAGAGGAGAGUGGAACUCCAUGUGUAGCGGUGAAAUGCGUAGAUAUAUGGAAGAACACCAGUGGCGAAAGCGACUCUCUGGUCUGUAACUGACGCUGAGGUUCGAAAGCGUGGGUAGCAAACAGGAUUAGAUACCCGAGUAGUC